GCAGUAGCCGCGGGAAUACAGAGGGUGCGAGCGUUAAUCGGAUUUACUGGGCGUAAAGCGUGCGUAGGCGGCUAAUUGAGUCGGAUGUGAAAUCCCCGAGCUUAACUUGGGAAUUGCAUUCGAUACUGGUUAGCUAGAGUGUGGGAGAGGAUGGUAGAAUUCCAGGUGUAGCGGUGAAAUGCGUAGAGAUCUGGAGGAAUACCGGUGGCGAAGGCGGCCCCCUGGACAAAGACUGACGCUCAGGUGCGAAAGCGUGGGGAGCAAACAGGAUUAGAGACCCCUGUAGUCCCUGUCUCUUAUAC
Molecule: ribosomal RNA, 302 nt
Filed under: uncultured bacterium
Lineage: Bacteria
Description: partial 16S ribosomal RNA
Rfam family: Bacterial small subunit ribosomal RNA
Source: RNAcentral